Molecule: ribosomal RNA, 467 nt
Filed under: uncultured bacterium
Lineage: Bacteria
Description: partial 16S ribosomal RNA
Rfam family: Bacterial small subunit ribosomal RNA
Source: RNAcentral
GAUGAACGCUGGCGGCGUGCUUAACACAUGCAAGUCGAACGGAAAGGCCCAAGCUUGCUUGGGUACUCGAGUGGCGAACGGGUGAGUAACACGUGGGUGAUCUGCCCUGCACUUCGGGAUAAGCCUGGGAAACUGGGUCUAAUACCGGAUAGGACGAUGGUUUGGAUGCCAUUGUGGAAUGUUUUUUCGGUGUGGGAUGAGCUCGCGGCCUAUCAGCUUGUUGGUGGGGUAAUGGCCUACCAAGGCGUCGACGGGUAGCCGGCCUGAGAGGGUGUACGGCCACAUUGGGACUGAGAUACGGCCCAGACUCCUACGGGAGGCAGCAGUGGGGAAUAUUGCACAAUGGGCGCAAGCCUGAUGCAGCGACGCCGCGUGGGGGAGGACGGCCUUCGGGUUGUAAACUCCUUUCGCUAGGGACGAAGCGUUUUGUGACGGUACCUGGAGAAGAAGCACCGGCUAACUACGUG